CAGCAGCCGCGGUAAUACGUAGGGGGCUAGCGUUAUCCGGAUUUACUGGGCGUAAAGGGUGCGUAGGCGGUCUUUCAAGUCAGGAGUUAAAGGCUACGGCUCAACCGUAGUAAGCUCCUGAUACUGUCUGACUUGAGUGCAGGAGAGGAAAGCGGAAUUCCCAGUGUAGCGGUGAAAUGCGUAGAUAUUGGGAGGAACACCAGUAGCGAAG
Molecule: ribosomal RNA, 211 nt
Filed under: Goniomonas pacifica
Lineage: Eukaryota; Cryptophyceae; Goniomonadida; Goniomonadaceae
Description: partial Bacterial small subunit ribosomal RNA
Rfam family: Bacterial small subunit ribosomal RNA
Source: RNAcentral